UCUAAUAUUUGAACACACCAGGAAACUAUAAUCUCCUCCUUCAUCUUAUCGAUCUCUUCCUUACAGUAAUUUAGUCAUACCAAUAACUGCUAUUUCUACCAAUAUAUUCACCCUCAUAAUCUCCAACUGUAAUACUACGCCCUCACAGCUUUCAACACACAAUUACCCUCAUUCCAAUCACUUGAAUUCUUCACAUAGAACUGCCAUUCACAUUACGGUGUUUCACACAAACACAAACUCAUUCUCUCUAUUGAAUUAUAAUCAGAUUUCAGCAUUCAAUCUUUCUUCUUCUCAAAUAAUACCAAUCACAUUUCCAUUCCAUAAU
Molecule: long non-coding RNA, 325 nt
Filed under: Physcomitrium patens
Lineage: Eukaryota; Viridiplantae; Streptophyta; Bryopsida; Funariales; Funariaceae
Description: long non-coding RNA (PPAT_LNC014371)
Source: RNAcentral